This 8025-nucleotide long non-coding RNA is filed under the name Setaria viridis. RNAcentral's name for it is "long non-coding RNA (SVIR_LNC003194)". Lineage: Eukaryota; Viridiplantae; Streptophyta; Magnoliopsida; Poales; Poaceae. The record is from RNAcentral.
UGAGAUCAAGAUAUGCAAAAUACACACGGAUCUGAACAUUUCUGAUCCGUUGACAAAACCACUCCCGCAGGCUAAGCAUGAUGCGCAUGUAAGAGCUAUGGGUAUUAGGUACCUUCUAGAUUGACUCUAGUGCAAGUGGGAGACUGUUGGAGAUAUGCCCUAGAGGCAAUCAUAGAGAUGAUGAUAUUCCAUUUGUAUCCAUGAUUUGUAUGUUGUGUUCAUUGAAUAUCCAUUGAAGGCUACUUGAAUUGAUUUGCAAUUAUGUGAAUUGUAUGUGAAACUCUUUACUUGUAUGGUUAUUCUAAAGUUGUCCCUAGUCGGAGUUCAUAUGAGGACACACAUGAAUAUUAGACUAGCACAUGUAUUAGUUGAUGACUAUGUUUCACAAGUCAUGGACAUGGAGAUGUUGAACUAAUAAUGUGGACACAUGUGGAGACAUGUGCUAGGACUGACCCAACACGAGAAGUAGUUCUCUCUUUAAAACAACAUAUACGCUUUGUCCUUAGACCUGAGAUUGUCACAUGUAUUCUAGAUGUGGAUCGACCUACUUAGGGGCUAUCAAACGCUACGCCAUAACAGGGUAGCUAUAAAGGUAGCUUUCGGGUUUGUCAAGAAGCAUGCUAUGAGACAUGGUCAAUCAAGAUGGGAUUUGCCCCUCUCUGAUUGAGAGUGAUAUCUCUGGGCCCCUCGAGUGAUCGGAUCUGAAAAUGCAUGGCCAUGCUACGUACGGUUAAGAGUUAACCUACAAAGGGAUUCCGAAUCACAGGAUCGAGAAAGAGCGGUCGGCUUGAAGCUAGACCAAAUAUCGUGAGGCAAAGGGAAUAGCAUGUAUAUUAUGUUGUGAUGGUUCGUCUGAUAUGAUCUUCGUGUGCAUAUAGGAGUUGGCACGUCUUGCUAGAGGCCGCCACUAACUAUUGGGCUGAGUAGGAGUACUCGGGCCAUGUCUAUACGUAUCCAAACCCAUAGGGUCACACACUUAAGGGGCUGGAAGCCCAAUUCGGAUCUGAUCCGAGUUGGAUUAGGUUUAUAGGUACUAAUGGGCCUCGGAUCCAGAGGCCCGUCAGGAACCUCUAUAAAUAGAGGGGUGGGGGCGCCCUAGGGUUUACACCUUUUGGCGAAACACACCUGCCGCGCCUCCCACACCCUCGCCUGUUGCAACUCGUGGAUCUAGCAAUUCCGGCUUGCGACGCAUCCUCCCUGCACGUGUGGAUACCUUGGAGGUGUUGCGCCUGCAGCACUUGGACGAGCCGCCGAUGAGCCACGACGAGCCGACGACGAGCCGCGGUACCGGAGGCGAUCUUGCUGUACGUGGACGAGCUGCUGAGGAGCUGCUGGACGUGAUCGACUAUGUACGACUACGUGAUCGUCUUCACUGCAUCGACGCAUAUCUACAUCUUUCCAGUCCAUAUCUCAUAUGGUGUCUUAACUACGGAUUUAGAUGGUACCCUAUUAAGUGUGAAAGCUGCUGUUUCUAGAGCGUAUCCCCAAAAUGACAACGGUAGGUCCGACUGGCUCAUCAUUGAUUGAACCAUGUCUAACAAAGUUCGAUUACGUCGCUCGGACACACCGUUUCUCUGAGGUGUUCCAGGCGGCGUAAGUUGUGGAACAAUUCCGCAACUCUUUAGAUGAUUGCUAAACUCGUGGCUCAAAUACUCGCCUCCACGAUCAGAUCGUAAGGCCUUAAUUUUCUUGCCACGCUGAUUUUCAACUUCAUUCUGAAAUUCCUUGAACUUUUCAAAGGUUUCAGACUUGUGCCUCAUCAAGUAGACAUAGCCAUAUCUACUAAAAUCAUCAGUGAAAGUUAUGAAGUAUUGGAAUCCUCCUCUAGCCGUCGUGCUCAUUGGUCCGCAUACAUCACUAUGUACGAGUUCCAACAAGUCUACUGCUCUCUCAGGAAAUCCUGUGAAAGGCGUCUUGGUCAUCUUGCCUAGCAAGCAAGCCUCACAUGUCUCGUAUGAUUCAAAAUCAAACAAAGUUAGAAGUCCAUCAGAAUGGAGCUUCUUCAUGCGCUUUUCACUUAUAUGACCCAAACGACAAUGCCACAAGUAGGUAGGACUCAAAUCAUUAGGCCGAGGCCUUUUAGCACUUACAUUACAGACAGGUGAACCAUCAAGAUUUAAAACAAAUAAUCCAUUCACAAUGGGUGCAAAAGCCAUAAACAUAUUAUUCUUAGAGAUCACACAACCAUUGUUUUCACUCGCAAAUGAAUAACCAUCCUUCAUCAAGCAUGAAGGAUACAAAAUGUUUCGACUAACAAAAUAACAAUUAUUCAACUCCAUAAUAAUUCCUGACAGGAGGUGGAGUUGCAUCGUCCCGACGGUCAACGCAGCAACUCUUACAUUAUUGCCCACGCGGAAAUCAACUUCUCCUCUUUCCACGCUUCUAGUUCUUAUCAUUCCCUGCAUCGAAUUGCAAAUAUGAGCAACCGAUCCGGUAUCAAAUACCCAAGAAUUAAUAAUUGUAUCAGCGAGAAAUAUGUUGUCUAUAACAUUAACAACAAGCGUACCUGAGGUAGAAGUACUCUUACUUCCGCCAUUCUUCAAGGAAGCUAGGUACUGCUUGCAGUUUCUCUUCCAGUGACCAAGUUCAUGACAGUAAAAGCACUCUUUGUUUGGAGUAGGUCCAGGUCCAGCUUUAACCUUGGGCGGUGGGUUUGGCUUGGACGUUCCAGCCUUGCCCUUCUUCUUCUAAGAAUUGCCCUUCUUCUUAAAGCUAGGCUUGUUCUGUAUCGCCAUCACAUGGCUGGUACUAGCGCUUUUCUUGAUGUCAGCCUCUGCUAUUUUAAGCAUGCCACACAGCUCAUUCAGACCCUUCUCCGUCCCAUGCAUAUGGUAGUUCGAGAUGAAGUUCCCAUAGCUAGGCGGAAGAGACGAAAGAAUGAAAUCAGUGGCCAACUCUUGGCCCACUGGGAAGCCCAGCUUCUCCAACCGUUGAGUGUAACCAACCAUCUUGAUUACGUGUGGUCCUACUGCUGCGCCUUCUGCUAGCUUGCUCUCAACAAAGGCCUUAGACACAUUGAACCUUUCAGUCCUGGCCUGUGUUUGGAACAUGUCUCUAAGCGCCACAAUCAUAUCAUGCGCCUCAUGGUUUGUUUCAAACUGCAUCUGCAGCUCCGGUUCCAUGCAAGCAAGCAUAAGGCAGCUUACUUCGAGGUUAGCAUCACAUGCUUUCUUGUAAGCAUUCUUAGCAGCAGCGGGUGCAUCAUCAGCAGAUUCUUCUGGUAGUGGGUUGUCUAGAAUAUCUUCCUUUUUCUCAGCCCUGAGAACAAUUCUCAGGUUACGGAUCCAAUCCGAGUAAUUUGUUCCAUUCAACUUGUCCUUCUCAAGGACCGAACGCAAAGCAAACGGUGUAGUGCUGCUAGGUGCCAUUUAAUCUACAACAAAAGUAAUGCAAAAUACACUAAGACAAACGUAUCCAUGAUAGAGCAAAUUACAUUAAACUAUUUUAACAGAAUCUACUCCCACUAAAAUCAAUAUCCCUCUAUUGAAACUUAGUGAUUCAGGAUCCACAACUUACAAGUCCACUAGUGAGCUUUAGCAUCACCGCUAGCAAACGAGGUAGAUCGGUAAGCAACUUUUGCUAAUCAUAUCACAUAUGACUCCUGUUGUUGGGUCACAUCUCUAUGUCUCGGCGCCCAACCUUUAUGCCCCAAGGUCCUUAACCGUUAAGAUAACCUUGUUAAGCAAACCAACCCUUAUGUGUGUAAGUGUCCAACACAAACCCGUCUAGUCAAGGAAAACUAGUGGCACCCUAAUUUCAUAGACCCACCACUAAUUGUACAAGACAUGGGACGGUGCAAGUUUUAGUUGGGAGGGCAUACUAACUUAAACUUCGUGAGGGAUCGUUCUACUUCUAACAUCACAGCAUGCAGAAAGUAAAACAUAAACAGAAUAGCAUUCACACAGCUUGUGACACAGUAUGGCCCGUCUUCAUAUGGUGAUCUCCAUCUCCAUGUUCCAUGUGCGCCCUCCUCCUGGUGAUGAGUCCUCCAAGAACUAGAGCAUGCUAUUACGACUAAUAGCUAGUAAAGAAUCUAGUAAUGAAGAUUACAUAGUUGCUUGGAUCAUCACAGAUUGGUACGCAGACCAUUAAAUACAAUAAAGUGACAACACAUAUGGCUCCUGCCGUGUUACUGUACGCGCGACACGCAGGUCAUGAAUGAGUUACACACAUGCAUCACAUACACAAGGGGGCCAUACUGAUCACAAGAUACAUACAUACAUCCUGCAAAACAGAGUUAGGCGUCCUAACGUUCCAAACUUCGGAGGCCCGAAACUCCAUCUUCCAAGCCGAAUUUGGGAAAUCUAAUUUCGCCGAAAAUGGCAAAGCCGUUGAAUUUCAUGUGUAACUUCUUAUGUAGAUCAAUUUUCAUAUAAAAUUCGCCCCAUUCCGAGAUCGUACCGAAAAGUUACGGCUGAUUUACCGAAGCAUACGCAUACGGCAAAAAUCCCGACCCCGGCAGUAGAUCCCAUCUACUAUUGCACAUCUAAUGCGCCUGGCGUAUGACCCUGGAUUUCGAUUUGACCAAUCAUAUUGAUCUUCCCUCACUGCAACUGGAUUUACGUGUAUCACUUAACUCCGAUGGAGGAAACCGACUGGUAGGAGUAUGUCGUUACACUACCAUUGCAGCAAGGGCACGAAAACAGGACAUAGAUCAAACGGAAAACUCGCAUAUCUCCAUAUGCACACAUCCCGAAUCCAAAACUAAGCAGCUACAGCUCUGAUACCACUGUUGGGAUACGAGGUAGGCUACACUAGCGCAAUUCAAAAAAUUCUACCGCGUAUAACCAGGAAGAACUGCCGUAUAAGGAUCACAGGAUUACCACUCAACGCACUACUGGUGCGGAAGAUGUAGAUAUGCGUCGAUGCAGUGAAGACGAUCACGUAGUCGUACGUAGUCGAUCACGUCCAGCAGCUCCUCAGCAGCUCGUCCACGUACAGCAAGAUCGCCUCCGGUACCGCGGCUCGUCGUCGGCUCGUCGUGGCUCGUCGGCGGCUCGUCCAAGUGCUGCAGGCGCAACACCUCCAAGGUAUCCACACGUGCAGGGAGGAAGCGUCACAAGCCGGACUGCUAGAUCCACGAGUUGCAACAGGUGAGGGCAUGGGAGGCGCGGCAGGUGUGUUUCGCCAAAAGGUGUAAACCCUAGGGCACCCCCACCCCUCUAUUUAUAGAGGUUCCUGACGGGCCUCUGGAUCCGAGGACCAUUAGUACCUCUAAGCCUAAUCCAACUCGGAUCAGAUCCGAAUUGGGCUUCCAGCCCCUUAAGUGUGUGACCCUAUGGGUUCGGAUACGUAUAGACAUGGCCCGAGUACUCCUACUCGGCCCAAUAGUCCGUAGCGGCCUCUAGCAAGACGUGCCAACUCCUAUACGCACAUGAAGAUCAUAUCAGACGAACCAUCACAACAUAAUAUACAUGCUAUUCCCUUUGCCUCACGAUAUUUGGUCUAGCUUCAAGCCGACCGCUCUUUCUCGAUCCUGUGAUUCGGAAUCCCUUUGUAGGUUAACUCUUAAUCGUACGUAGCAUGGCCAUGCAUUUUUGGAUCCGAUCACUCGAGGGGCCCAGAGAUAUCACUCUCAAUCAGAGAGGGGCAAAUCCCAUCUUGAUUGACCAUGUCUCAUAGCAUGCUUCUUGACAAACCCGAAAGCUACCUUUAUAACUAUCCUAUUACGGCGUAGCGUUUGAUAGCCCCUAAGUAGGUCGAUCCACAUCUAGAAUACAUGUGACAAUCUCAGGUCUAAGGACAAAGCGUAUAUGUUGUUUUAAAGAGAGAACUACUUCUCGUGUUGGGUCAGUCCUAGCACAUGUCUCCACAUGUGUCCACAUUAUUAGUUCAACAUCUCCAUGUCCAUGACUUGUGAAACAUAGUCAUCAACUAAUACAUGUGCUAGUCUAAUAUUCAUGUGUGUCCUCACAUGAACUCCGACUAGGGACAACUUUAGAAUAACCAUACAAGUAAAGAGUUUCACAUACAGUUCACAUAAUUGCAAAUCAAUUCAAGUAGCCUUCAAUGGAUAUUUAAUGAACACAACAUACAAAUCAUGGAUACAAAUGGAAUAUCAUCAUCUCUAUGAUUGCCUCUAGGGCAUACCUCCAACAAUGAUGAGCCUGCAACAUAUGCAGAAGCAAUGAUGGACCCAGACUCCGAAAAAUGGCAGAGUCCCAUGCAAUCCGAAAUAGAGUCCAUGGGAGACAAUCAAGUUUGGAACUUGGUUGACCCACCUGAUGGUGUUAAAGCCAUAGAGUGCAAGUGGAUCUAUAAGAACAAAAAGGACAUGGAUGGAAAUGUUCACAUCUAUAAAGCACGACUUGUCGCAAAAGGUUUUCAACAAGUUCAAGGAGUUGACUACGAUGAGACCUUCUCGCCCAUAGUGAUGCUUAAGUCCAUUCGGAUUAUUCUAGCUAUAGCUGCAUAUUUCGAUUAUGAGAUAUGGCAGAUGGAUGUCAAGACAGCUUUCCUGAAUGGAAACCUAACUGAGGACGUGUAUAUGAUACAGCCCGAGGGUUUUGUCGAUCCGAAAAAUGCUGGAAAGGUAUGCAAGCUUUAGAGAUCCAUUUAUGGAUUGAAGCAAGCAUCUAGGAGUUGGAACAUUCGUUUUGAUGAAGUGGUCAAAGGGUUUGACUUCACCAAGAAUGAAGAAGAGUCUUGUGUUUACAAGAAGGUUAGUGGGAGCUCUGUAGUAUUUCUAAUCUUAUAUGUGGAUGACAUAUUACUGAUUGGAAAUAACAUUCCUAUGCUUGAGUCCGUAAAGACUUCACUGAAAAAUAGUUUUUCGAUGAAGGACUUAGAGGAAGCGGCAUAUAUUCUGGGCAUUAAGAUCUAUAGAGAUAGAUCGAGAAGGCUUAUAGGUUUAAGCCAAGAUACUUACAUUGACAAAGUGUUGAAGCGGUUCAGCAUGGAAGAGGCAAAGAAAGGGUUCUUGCCUAUGUCACAUGGCAUACAUCUCAGCAAGACUCAGUGUCCUUCGACUGCUGAUGAGCGGGAUCACAUGAGUAGAGUACCAUAUGCCUCGGCUAUUGGAUCUAUCAUGUAUGCAAUGAUAAGUACUCGCCCAGAUGUUUCAUAUGCGCUAAGUAUGACAAGCAGACACCAAUCUGAUCCAGGUGAGAGUCACUGGAUAGCGGUGAAAAACAUUCUUAAGUACUUGAGAAGGACUAAAGAUAUGUUCCUCGUCUAUGGAGGUGAGGAGGAGCUCGUUGUAACAGGUUACACCGAUGCUAGUUUCCAAACCGAUAGAGAUGAUUCAAAGUCACAAUCAGGAUUUGUAUUCACACUGAAUGGUGGUGCUGUUAGUUGGAAGAGUUCCAAGCAGGAGACGGUGGCUAAUUUUACGACAGAAGCCGAGUACAUCGCGGCUUCGGAAGCCGCGAAGGAAGGUGUUUGGAUAAGGAAUUUCCUCAUUGAGCUUGGUGUGUUCCCGAAUGCGUCCAGCCCAUUGAAUCUCUACUGUGAUAAUAAUGGGGCAAUUGCGCAAGCAAAGGAGCCAUGGAACCACCAGAAGAACAAACACGUAAUGCGGCGAUUUCAUCUCAUUCGAGACUUCGUUAACCGGGGUGAGAUCAAGAUAUGCAAAAUACACACGGAUCUGAACAUUUCUGAUCCGUUGACAAAACCACUCCCGCAGGCUAAGCAUGAUGCGCAUGUAAGAGCUAUGGGUAUUAGGUACCUUCUAGAUUGACUCUAGUGCAAGUGGGAGACUGUUGGAGGUAUGCCCUAGAGGCAAUCAUAGAGAUGAUGAUAUUCCAUUUGUAUCCAUGAUUUGUAUAUUGUGUUCAUUGAAUAUCCAUUAAAGACUACUUGAAUUGAUUUGCAAUUAUGUGAAUUGUAUGUGAAACUCUUUACUUGUAUGGUUAUUCUAAAGUUGUCCCUAGUCGGAGUUCAUGUGAGGACACACAUGAAUAUUAGACUAGCACAUGUAUUAGUUGAUGACUAUGUUUCACAAGUCAUGGACAUGGAGAUGUUGAACUAAUAAUGUGGACACAUGUGGAGACAUGUGCUAGGACUGACCCAACAUGAGAAGUAGUU